This 199-nucleotide ribosomal RNA is filed under the name uncultured bacterium. RNAcentral's name for it is "partial 16S ribosomal RNA". It matches the Rfam family "Bacterial small subunit ribosomal RNA", at positions 328 to 539 of the family's 1533-position model. The record is from RNAcentral.
ACGCUCGACACCUACGGGAGGCAGCAGUGGGGAAUAUUGCACAAUGGGGGAAACCCUGAUGCAGCGACGCCGCGUGGAGGAAGAAGGUCUUCGGAUUGUAAACUCCUGUUGUUGGGGAAAAAGAGGAUGGUACCCAACAAGGAAGUGACGGCUAACUACGCGCCAGCAGCCGCGGUAAUCUGAGGCGGGCUGGCAAGGC